GAAAAAUAUUAAUUUGAAUUUUUUUAACAACUAAAGCUUCAUAAAAUUCUGGUCUACAACUCCUCGCAAGUCACAGCCAUUUUUGCUUUUAUGACCGGCCAAGAAUGAGUAAUGUAAUCAAACGACCAGGCGGACCUGGCCUAAUCCAAGGCCAUUAAAAUCUGCGGUUUUAAAUGGUCCCCAAAAAAGUAAACUGCAAGUUGCAAAGGCAACAUGACAAAAACACUAAGGAAACAACGAUGCCGUAUUGCUCUUCCAAAAAUAUUCAGUACCCCAAAACAAGAAGGUUUUAACUACCGAUGUGUUAAGUUCUAACCGGAUGCCUUUCCUAAUCCAACUUUGUUUUGCUAUAAUUUCUUUGAUUAAUUUUAUAAAGUAGAACGGAAAGUUACCUCAAACUGCAAAAUCCAGUUGC
RNAcentral lists this unclassified non-coding RNA (415 nucleotides) under Hevea brasiliensis (rubber tree). Lineage: Eukaryota; Viridiplantae; Streptophyta; Magnoliopsida; Malpighiales; Euphorbiaceae. The record is from RNAcentral.